RNAcentral lists this ribosomal RNA (876 nucleotides) under uncultured bacterium. Its description in RNAcentral is "bacterial SSU rRNA". It matches the Rfam family "Bacterial small subunit ribosomal RNA", at positions 21 to 895 of the family's 1533-position model. The record is from RNAcentral.
GGCUCAGGAUGAACGCUAGCGGCAGGCCUAAUACAUGCAAGUCGAGGGGCAGCGGGAGUAGCAAUACUUGCCGGCGACCGGCGCACGGGUGCGUAACACGUAUGUAAUCUACCCAUAACCGGAGAAUAGCUCGAAGAAAUUCGGAUUAAUACUCCAUAGUAUUUUGAGGGGGCAUCUCCUUAAAAUUAAAGUUCCGACGGUUAUGGAUGAGCAUGCGUCCGAUUAGCUAGUUGGUGAGGUAGCGGCUCACCAAGGCGACGAUCGGUAGGGGUACUGAGAGGUUACACCCCCACACUGGUACUGAGACACGGACCAGACUCCUACGGGAGGCAGCAGUAAGGAAUAUUGGACAAUGGUCGCAAGACUGAUCCAGCCAUGCCGCGUGCAGGAUGAAUGCCCUAUGGGUUGUAAACUGCUUUUGUACGGGAAUAAACCCUCCUACGUGUAGGAGGCUGAAUGUACCGUAAGAAUAAGGGUCGGCUAACUUCGUGCCAGCAGCCGCGGUAAGACGAAGGACCCAAGCGUUAUCCGGAUUCAUUGGGUUUAAAGGGUGCGUAGGCGGAUUGAUAAGUCAGUGGUGAAAUCUCCGGGCUUAACCCGGAAACUGCCAUUGAUACUGUCGAUCUUGAAUAUGGUUGAUGUGGGCGGAAUAUGACAUGUAGCGGUGAAAUGCUUAGAUAUGUCAUAGAACACCGAUUGCGAAGGCAGCUCACAAAGCCAUUAUUGACGCUGAGGCACGAAAGUGCGGGGAUCAAACAGGAUUAGAUACCCUGGUAGUCCGCACCGUAAACGUUGAUAACUCGCUGUUGGCGAUAUACAGUCAGCGGCUAAGCGAAAGCGUUAAGUUAUCCACCUGGGGAGUACGACCGCAAGGUU